UGCCGUGGUUUGAUGAGGUUGAUGCC
This 26-nucleotide non-coding RNA is filed under the name Homo sapiens (human). Lineage: Eukaryota; Metazoa; Chordata; Mammalia; Primates; Hominidae. The record is from RNAcentral.